RNAcentral lists this RNase P RNA (378 nucleotides) under Alphaproteobacteria bacterium. RNAcentral describes it as "RNase P RNA component class A". It matches the Rfam family "Bacterial RNase P class A". From Rfam's summary of the family: Ribonuclease P (RNase P) is a ubiquitous endoribonuclease, found in archaea, bacteria and eukarya as well as chloroplasts and mitochondria. Its best characterised activity is the generation of mature 5'-ends of tRNAs by cleaving the 5'-leader elements of precursor-tRNAs. Cellular RNase Ps are ribonucleoproteins. The record is from RNAcentral. Lineage: Bacteria; Pseudomonadati; Pseudomonadota; Alphaproteobacteria.
CCAGAUGGCUGGAUGACCGCGGGGUUAUCGUAUGUCGCAGCGAGGCUAAACCUCUAACGCGGCCCAAUCAAUCCCGAGGAAAGUCCGGACUCCAGGGAAACGGUGGCGGGUAACGCCCGCCGAGCGUGAGCUUAGGGAAAGUGCCACAGAGAACAAACCGCCAACUUCGGUUGGUAAGGGUGAAAAGGUGCGGUAAGAGCGCACCGCGUUGCUGGUAACAGUGACGGCAUGGUAAACCCCACCGGGAGCAAGACCAAAUAGGCGCACAUCAAGGCUGUCCCGGCCGUGCGCGGGUAGGUUGCUUGAGCGUAUGAGCAAUCAUACGCCUAGAUGAAUGGUCAUCGACAACAGAAUCCGGCUUACGGGCCAUCUGGCGAG